CUCAAAACCAUCAUCAAUUAGUAAUAAAUUCUCAAUACUACUCUAGACAAAUUAAUUGUUUUGAUUGUUGACUGAUAUUCACUGAUGCAUCUUAUUUAGUCUGUGAGGGUCGUUCGAGGAAUGUACAACAUGGAUAACUUGAAGUAUCGAAGAAGCACCUACGUUCAACGACAACACCAAAAUCAUUAAUAACCCCUCAGCUAAUACAAACUGCAAUAACUCAUCCACCAAUCCAAACUACAAUAACCCCUCUACCAAUCCAAUAAUCAAUAAUCCAUCCGUCAAACCAAACUACAAUAACCCCUCCAUCAAUCCAAUCAUCAAUAACCCCUAUAACAAUCCAAACUAUAAUAACUUAUUCGCUAAUCGAAACUCCAAUAACCCCUCCACCAAUCCAAACUACAUAACCAUCACUUUUUUUAGAGACAUUUCUUCACCAUAACAUUUCAUCCCCUCACUAUGAAGAUGUUGUGGUAGAAGAUGAUACUGAAAAUGUUGUGAUAGAAGAUGAGAUUGCAAAUGUUGUUCAAGUGGGUGGUUCUGAAUAUUGGGAUGUAAAUGUUAUUACUCAGUAAUUUAAUGUUAUAAUAUCUUAAAAUAAUUUAAAUGAUUUACAUAGUUGAGUUAUAAAAUUAUUUUAUUUACCUUUUUAUGUGAUGUAUGAGGCAAAUCAUAUUUCAAAUACAUGUUUAUGUGUGCCAGACUUGAUUGGAAAAAUAACUUCUGAUGGAACAUGGAUAAUACUUGAAUGAGAUUCAGAUGGUCUCGCAGUAGGAUCACCAACUCGUUUGUUAGCAGGGUAUUUGGAUAGAGUUGUUAGAAUGUUUCAGGACUUUCCCAUAAUGUUUGAGAGUUGGAAGAUGGUUCCCAUGGAUAAAACAACAAAGUUUUAUAAUGCAAAGAUAAAGUUAUCAUUAAUAAACAACAACAUAUUUUAAAAUUCAUUUCAUGGUCAAUAUUAUUUGCUUUGUUAGCUAAUUUUCAUUUUUAUGGUUAGCUCUAUUUUGUUGUUGAUGAUGGAGAUGACAAGCCAACAAUAUUUUCUUCUGAUGGAAAAAAAUUGGAGGGAUGUCUGAUAUCAAUUGUUUAAAAAACUUUAUAAAUGAGAUCUCUCACAUUGAAAAAAAAUCUUGCAAAUUUUACCAAAGGUAUUGUUAACGAAAAUGAUUGUGUUGUUUUUGUUCAAUAUAGGCGGAAAGAAGAUACACAUGUAAUAUUAGUGUUUUACUCGUAUAAUUUUAUUUUUAAUAUAUGAAUGAGUUUUUCCUAAGUGCUUUAACGCAUGUUUUUAUUUGUUACUAAUAUAGAGAAUGACAAGAUAAAAUGUCAAAAAUUGAAGAAAAAAAUGAAGAUUCCGCAUACACUCGAAUCUAAGUCGCUUGCAAGAAGCAAUAUUUGUGCUUAUUUGUAGGAAUUGAAAUAUGGAUGACUAUGCAGCAGAUGAGAAAUGUACGUAGUUUCUGAUAAAAGGUUUGACGAGUCUUUUAUCAAUGAAAAUGCAUACAAUAAUAAUGUAAGUGCAAUUUAAUUCUUUUGAAAUAUUUGUUAGACUUUUUAAGAUUUGAGAAAAAAUCAAAUCUUUUGGCAUCUCUUAGAGGUGGGGAGAAUCUGAUUUAAAAUUGAUUAUUUUUGUACCUUACUUAUUUUUUGUUAAUAUUUUUUAAAUAUAAAAACUUAAUUCUUUUAAAAUAUUUGUUAAACUCUUUAAGGUUUGAGAAAAUAUUCAAUCCUUUUAUUAUUUCUUAAAAUAGGUUAUGUAAAGGAGAAUAAUUUAUAGUAUACUUGUAUUCUUGCAAGAACUCCGCUGCUUUGGUUCCAUUCAGGAAUUCUUUUAAAAAAUUCUUAGAGAUCUUCCAUCAAUAAUAAAAUAGGUAAAUUGUAAGACAAUGAAUCCAUUAAAAGAAAUGUGAAGUACAAUAUCAAUUUCUGCAUAAAAUUGAUGCUGUUUCAUUUGUCUCCAAUUUUUCUUCCUCAUGUUCUGUCAACUUCCCAAUAAAUCCAUUGAAACUCUUAUGGUAGCUGUGAAGUACAUCUUAUGGUUUAAAAUCACGAGAUGGAUGAAAAUUUUGAUUAUUAAUCUUUCACAAUAUUCUUAGAUAAGGAAAAAAGAAACGCACAAAAAAAUCUAGCCAUACUGAUACACAUUUGUUAAUUGCAAUUAAAUUCUGUUUUUACCCUUCCAAAACUAACAGAAUUUACUUGUAGAGUCACUUUAGUUGUAUUUUUGAGUUGUAUCAUUUUAUUCUCUCAAUGUAUAAAUACUCUUGUAAUAUUCCCAAUUCAAAAUUAAUACCAAAAUUACUAUUCAUCCAAUAUUACUCUAUUCUCUCUAAUUC
This 2336-nucleotide long non-coding RNA is filed under the name Lathyrus oleraceus (garden pea). RNAcentral's name for it is "Pisum sativum (pea) long non-coding RNA (PSAT_LNC014490)". Lineage: Eukaryota; Viridiplantae; Streptophyta; Magnoliopsida; Fabales; Fabaceae. The record is from RNAcentral.